RNAcentral lists this long non-coding RNA (1014 nucleotides) under Malus domestica (apple). RNAcentral's name for it is "long non-coding RNA (MDOM_LNC012430)". The record is from RNAcentral. Lineage: Eukaryota; Viridiplantae; Streptophyta; Magnoliopsida; Rosales; Rosaceae.
AGUUAUUAUUUAUAUUUAUUAGUUAAUUUAAUUAAAUUACUAUUUAUACCAUAUUAAAAUAAGAUUACUAAUUAAAUUACUAUUUAUAUUUUUUUGUCGCAUGUCGUCAAAUGGGUAUGAAAAGAGUGUUUAAGGUAAACAGUAUGUGAAAAUUUGAAAUAAAAUAAGAUAAGAUAGUAUGUAAGAAAAAAAAAUUAAUAGUAAAAAUUCAAGAUAAAAUUAACAAACACAGCAAAUUAAGGAGAAAAUUAAAAAAAUCAUAGUAAAAGUUCAUAUUGGUAACUUCGUGGGGUCGCAAUGAACUCAACAACUCAAUGCCCCAAGGAGCCAAAGCUCAAGCCAUAGUGACUCUGUGGGGUCAUCUACUUUUUCAAAGUAGCAUGCCAGCUGACGGUACUAUGGCUAAAAGUUUUGCAAGACGCUUCAAGCAAACAAAGUUUUAAGAAAAAUAAAGAUGGAGCAAAGCGAAGAAAGAUGUCAAUUAGCUAAAAGUUCUAUAAGACGCUUUAAGCAAACAAAGUUUCAAGAAAAACAAAGGUGGAUUAAAGGAAAAAAAAACAAUCUAUUAAAUUUCUAGCAAGUUAAUAAACUUGCACGAAGGUCGUCAAAAUUUGACAUAGGCUAAACAAAAUUGACUGCUCAUUAGCAGCUUGGAUGAUCUUAAGCUCUCCAGCAGCUAUCCCGUAUUCAUUAGCCACUUCGCACUCGUUUGCUCGUCUAACACUUCAUCUUCACUCCGAUCUUGGCAUCUUCAACUGUUCCAUUUACAACAGUUGAGCAAUCAAACUCGAGCAGUUCCCUCAUUUUUUGGUGAGCAUCAUAGACAUAGCAGCAGUGGAAGGAGCAGGCUUUGACGCUUCUUUAACAGCUGAAUCCACUUUUCCAAGUGAUAGACUUUCCUCCCCACUUCUCAUAGUGGUGAGCCUUUCAGAAGCUCAUCUAGACUUAACCACAACUGGAUACUUAACUCUAUCUCUGGACCUAAACGUUGGAAACAGUUUGAUGUCAGGCUUU